CGGCGGCCUUUUAGCCAAGUGUUUCGAUCGAUUUGAUUUCAAGGAGGGCUUAAAAAAAGGUCAAAUCGUUCGCAUUUUGGUUAGAUCGACGCGUUGAUGUGUGAGCUGCUAAUUUAAUGUUUGUGUUGGCUGGCUCCCUGCUUGCGCAGCGAACAGUCGGCGCUUACGUAUUUCAGUCGGGAUUGAGACGCGUUUGCGGAUUUUUGUGUUGGCAACCCAAUUGAUGGAAUUCUUACGACUCGAACGCGUAACUUCGCCGAACACCCCUCGCGGUGGUAGGCGGACGAUGAAGCUGCCCCUUUUUUUGCCGUGGUCUUCCGUUCCGGAUCCAUGGAAAAUUCGGUGGCGCUGCUCGUUGCCUCGGAUGCAGAGCAUGAAGCGAGCAUGAUGCCUGUCAUCAUUCGCUCAUUCAGAGCUCUCGAUUGCUCGGAAAGAGAGACCGUCGUGCUUGGUAUUGGCUGUCGACUCGUCGAUCCAGCUCGAAACCGUGCCGACGUCUUCAAUGAAUGCUACCUGGUUGAUCCUGCCAGUAGUCAUAUGCUUGUCUCAAAGAUUAAGCCAUG
This 563-nucleotide unclassified non-coding RNA is filed under the name Sedum versadense. Its description in RNAcentral is "partial contains external transcribed spacer and 18S ribosomal RNA". The stretch from base 511 to 563 matches the Rfam family "Eukaryotic small subunit ribosomal RNA", at positions 1 to 53 of the family's 1831-position model. Lineage: Eukaryota; Viridiplantae; Streptophyta; Magnoliopsida; Saxifragales; Crassulaceae. The record is from RNAcentral.